This 922-nucleotide ribosomal RNA is filed under the name uncultured bacterium. RNAcentral describes it as "bacterial SSU rRNA". It matches the Rfam family "Bacterial small subunit ribosomal RNA", at positions 8 to 919 of the family's 1533-position model. The record is from RNAcentral.
AGAGUUUGAUCCUGGCUCAGAUUGAACGCUGGCGGCAUGCUUUACACAUGCAAGUCGAACGGCAGCACGAAAGAGCUUGCUCUUUUGGUGGCGAGUGGCGAACGGGUGAGUAAUAUAUUGGAACGUACCGAGUAAUGGGGGAUAACUAUCCGAAAGGAUAGCUAAUACCGCAUACGCUUUGAGAAGGAAAGUGGGGGAUCUUCGGACCUCACGUUAUUCGAGCGGCCAAUAACUGAUUAGCUAGUUGGAGGGGUAAAGGCCCACCAAGGCGACGAUCAGUAGCGGGUCUGAGAGGAUGAUCCGCCACACUGGGACUGAGACACGGCCCAGACUCCUACGGGAGGCAGCAGUGGGGAAUUUUGGACAAUGGGCGCAAGCCUGAUCCAGCCAUGCCGCGUGUCUGAAGAAGGCCUUCGGGUUGUAAAGGACUUUUGUUAGGGAAGAAAAGGAGUAUGUUAAUACCAUACUCUGCUGACGGUACCUAAAGAAUAAGCACCGGCUAACUACGUGCCAGCAGCCGCGGUAAUACGUAGGGUGCGAGCGUUAAUCGGAAUUACUGGGCGUAAAGCGAGCGCAGACGGUUUAUUAAGCAAGAUGUGAAAUCCCCGAGCUUAACUUGGGAACUGCGUUUUGAACUGGUAAGCUAGAGUAUGUCAGAGGGGGGUAGAAUUCCACGUGUAGCAGUGAAAUGCGUAGAGAUGUGGAGGAAUACCGAUGGCGAAGGCAGCCCCCUGGGAUAAUACUGACGUUCAUGCUCGAAAGCGUGGGUAGCAAACAGGAUUAGAUACCCUGGUAGUCCACGCCCUAAACGAUGUCAAUUAGCUGUUGGGGCACUUGAUGCCUUAGUAGCGAAGCUAACGCGUGAAAUUGACCGCCUGGGGAGUACGGUCGCAAGAUUAAAACUCAAAGGAAUUGACGGGGA